UACGUAGGGCGCAAGCGUUAUCCGGAAUUAUUGGGCGUAAAGAGCUCGUAGGCGGUGCGUCGCGUCUGCUGUGAAAACUCAGGGCUCAACUCUGAGCUUGCAGUGGGUACGGGCACGCUAGAGUGCUGUAGGGGAGACUGGAAUUCCUGGUGUAGCGGUGAAAUGCGUAGAUAUCAGGAGGAACACCAGUGGCGAAGGCGGGUCUCUGGGCAGUUACUGACGCUGAGGAGCGAAAGCAUGGGGAGCAAACAGG
This 253-nucleotide ribosomal RNA is filed under the name uncultured bacterium. RNAcentral's name for it is "partial 16S ribosomal RNA". It matches the Rfam family "Bacterial small subunit ribosomal RNA", at positions 524 to 776 of the family's 1533-position model. The record is from RNAcentral.